GCAUAGUGUAGUGGUUAACAUGGCUGCCUUCUAAGCACUUGGUCUGGGUUCAAUUCCCACCCAAUGCC
RNAcentral lists this transfer RNA (68 nucleotides) under Pelodiscus sinensis (Chinese soft-shelled turtle). It matches the Rfam family "tRNA". From Rfam's summary of the family: Transfer RNA (tRNA) molecules are approximately 80 nucleotides in length. Their secondary structure includes four short double-helical elements and three loops (D, anti-codon, and T loops). Further hydrogen bonds mediate the characteristic L-shaped molecular structure. tRNAs have two regions of fundamental functional importance: the anti-codon, which is responsible for specific mRNA codon recognition, and the 3' end, to which the tRNAs corresponding amino acid is attached (by aminoacyl-tRNA synthetases). tRNAs cope with the degeneracy of the genetic code in two manners: having more than one tRNA (with a specific anti-codon) for a particular amino acid; and 'wobble' base-pairing, i.e. permitting non-standard base-pairing at the 3rd anti-codon position. Lineage: Eukaryota; Metazoa; Chordata; Testudines; Trionychidae. The record is from Rfam by way of RNAcentral.